This 577-nucleotide ribosomal RNA is filed under the name Arsenophonus endosymbiont of Bemisia tabaci. RNAcentral's name for it is "partial 23S ribosomal RNA". It matches the Rfam family "Bacterial large subunit ribosomal RNA", at positions 150 to 768 of the family's 2925-position model. The record is from RNAcentral. Lineage: Bacteria; Pseudomonadati; Pseudomonadota; Gammaproteobacteria; Enterobacterales; Morganellaceae.
UCGUUUGAUGAAUUCAUAGUCAAUCGAGGCAAACCGGGGAAACUGAAACAUCUCAGUACCCCGAGGAAAAGAAAUCAACCGAGAUUCCCCCAGUAGCGGCGAGCGAACGGGGAGCAGCCCAGAGUCAACAUCAAUAUUUACCGCAGGAGAAGGGUCUGGAAAGGCCGGCAAUAAAGGGUGAUAGCCCCGUAUCUGAAGCGGUAAGUGUUGUGAACUCGAAGAGUAGGGCGGGACACGUGUUAUUCUGUCUGAAUAUGGGGGGACCCAUCCUCCAAGGCUAAAUACUCCUGACUGACCGAUAGUGAACCAGUACCGUGAGGGAAAGGCGAAAAGAACCCCGGCGAGGGGAGUGAAAUAGAACCUAAAACCGUGUACGUACAAGCAGUGGGAGCACCCGAAAGGGUGUGACUGCGUACCUUUUGUAUAAUGGGUCAGCGACUUAUAUUCUGUAGCAAGGUUAACCGCAUAGGGGAGCCGUAGGGAAACCGAGUCUUAACUGGGCGUUAAGUUGCAGGGUAUAGACCCGAAACCCGGUGAUCUAGCCAUGGGCAGGUUGAAGGUUGGGUAACACUAACUG